CCGUAACUAUAACGGUCCUAAGGUAGCGAAAUUCCUUGUCGGGUAAGUUCCGACCCGCACGAAUGGCGUAACGACUUGGGCACUGUCUCAACAAGGGACCCGGCGAAAUUGUAGUAUGUGUGAAGAUGCACAUUACCCGCGAUAGGACGGAAAGACCCCGUAGAGCUUUACUGUAGCCUGGUAUUGGAUUUUGGUAACGUAUGUACAGAAUAGGUGGGAGACGGAGAAGCGAGGACGCCAGUUCUCGUGGAGUCGCCUUUGGGAUACCACUCUUAUGUUACCGGGGUUCUAACGAGCGGCCGUGAACCGGCGUUCAGACAGUGCCAGGUGGGCAGUUUGACUGGGGCGGUCGCCUCCGAAAGAGUAACGGAGGCGUCCAAAGGUUCCCUCAGAAUGGUUGGAAACCAUUCGAAGAGUGCAAAGGCAGAAGGGAGCUUGACUGCGACACCGACGGGUGGAGCAGGUACGAAAGUAGGACUUAGUGAUCCGGUGGUAUAAAGUGGGAUUGCCAUCGCUCAACGGAUAAAAGCUACCCUGGGGAUAACAGGCUUAUCACUCCCAAGAGUUCACAUCGACGGAGUGGUUUGGCACCUCGAUGUCGGCUCAUCGCAUCCUGGGGCUGUAGCAGGUCCCAAGGGUUGGGCUGUUCGCCCAUUAAAGCGGUACGCGAGCUGGGUUCAGAACGUCGUGAGACAGUUCGGUCCCUAUCUGUCGUGGGCGCAGGAUAUUUGAAAGGCGCUGUCCCUAGUACGAGAGGACCGGGAUGGACGCACCUCUGGUGCACCAGUUGUCACGCCAGUGGCACAGCUGGGCAGCUAUGUGCGGAACGGAUAAACGCUGAAAGCAUCUAAGCGUGAAGCCGACUCCAAGAUUAGAUAUCCCAUUGCAUAAGCAAGUAAGACCCCUUGAGGACUACGAGGUUGAUAGGCUGCGUGUGUAAGUGUCGUGAGGCAUUUAGCUUGGCAGUACUAAUAGGUCGAGGGCUUGACCAC
RNAcentral lists this ribosomal RNA (992 nucleotides) under human gut metagenome. Its description in RNAcentral is "bacterial LSU rRNA". It matches the Rfam family "Bacterial large subunit ribosomal RNA", at positions 1934 to 2925 of the family's 2925-position model. The record is from RNAcentral.